UGCGGGAUAGAGUAGUGGUCACUCACGAGUCUCAUAAGCUCGUUUACGAAGGUUCAAUUCCUUCUCCCGCGUCCA
This 75-nucleotide transfer RNA is filed under the name [Phormidium] sp. LEGE 05292. Its description in RNAcentral is "tRNA-Met". It matches the Rfam family "tRNA". Rfam says of the family: Transfer RNA (tRNA) molecules are approximately 80 nucleotides in length. Their secondary structure includes four short double-helical elements and three loops (D, anti-codon, and T loops). Lineage: Bacteria; Bacillati; Cyanobacteriota; Cyanophyceae; Aerosakkonematales; Aerosakkonemataceae. The record is from RNAcentral.